GGGAAAGACUGGGAGAGGAGUGUUUAUUUUUCCCUGCUUCCUCUGCACCAAGAGACAAGGCCACUGAGGCACAGAGAGGUGAGAGCGCUUGCAUGAGGUCACACAGCAUUGGGAAUCCAUUGCAGGCAUUCUGGCUGCAGUGUCUGGCACUUAGCAACCAGUGACUAUGACCUCUAAUGAAGCCUAACAAAUGAGUAAUGAAAAUGGAAAAUAUAUCAUCCCUGCUCUUGAGGAACUUACAUGCUACUGAAAAAGAUGGGACUAAAUGCGAAGUUACAGUAGAACGUGGUAAGAAGUGUGAGGACGGUAAGAAGAUCUUCCAGAAGCAGUAAGGAUGGCGUCAGGCCCUGUCAAGUUUCUACUGCCAUUGCUUAGUUGAGGUUUCUCUUACUACUGCAUUGCAACAGCUUUAUAACCUUCCACUCCCAGCCUGCAAGACCUUCAACUGUAAGCUCCAGCCUAACCGCUAAAAUUCUCUGCCAUAAAGAUGAUAAUGGAGAAAUUGGAAGAGGCUUAGAGAAGAAUAAGUCACCAAAUGUUUAUUAAGCCCUGAAAUAUUCCAGGUACCGUGAUACACCCACUGGGCAUCAGUUAUAAGUCAUGUGCAAUUGAGAGGAUAAAAGUGAAGAGUCUCUCUUUCAGCGGCGUGGUCUCCUGCAAGCACCCUGAGCAGAAGAUUAUACUAACACUAGAGAAAAUGAUCGGGUCCUUGAAAGGAUACACAAACACCAGGGAUGAAAUGAACUCACCAGCUAUCUGAAAUGAGUUACAAGAUACAGCCACAGGCUCCUGAGCUGAGAACCCAGAAAAUCCCUACAAGAUAAGUGCUGUGAUCCCUACUUCACAGAUGAAGGAAGAGGAACUGAGAAGUUAAGUCACACGGUCACAAGAUCACAUACUUGGAGCAUAAUUACCAUGCCAUUGAUUCUCUCUCCGGGCCUGGAAAGGAAACAAGAUGCACUGUCCUCAAUGAUGAGAUCUACAGGUACUCUGAAGAAUUCAUCGUCGUCUCCACCUCAAACACAGCCAACCAGCUCCUGUUCCUGGUGAUACUUCCCAUUGCCAUUGAGUUAGUGAGGCUUACAACUUCAAAAGCCACUUUUGCUCCCUCCUCCCUGGUAUUUUACAUGGAAUCAGUCAUCCAGACCAGAUGCAAAUUGUCAAAGCUCCGAAGAUGGACCCCACCAAGAUGAUUAACUGGAGAUUCACCACUGCUGGUUUGGAAAGAAUACUACAGUGACUGGUUAACAAUUUAACGAAACAUUACUGACUCCAGGCUGCCCAUGCAAGAUGUUCUGGUAGGUGCCUGCAAGAGAGAGAAAGUAAGAUACAACUCCUACCAUAAAGGAUUUACACACUGACAAAGACACAUCGACAACCUCAAAAAUAAACAGUAAAGGGUUCUUGAGAAGGACUAUGUGUAGAGCAUUAAAGAGUAACCAGGAAUUAAUAUUAGCUGCAGGAAUAGGGGCCAAAAGGCAACCAUGUGGGGAAAAAAGGCAUCUGAAAUGGACUGUUAAAGCUAAAUACGGGUUUGGCAAGCAGAGAGAGGUGGGAUGGGGAAGCUACAGUGUUCUAAGAAGAGACUGAACACGACAACGUGGCACAGAAUGUACAGGAUGUAUCUGUGAGGUUGGCAGUGGGGUUUGGAUUGUUUACAGAGCACAUGCAAGGGAAUCCUAUACAGGACAAGUACUUAAGAGUGAUACUUGUUAGGGGCCUGGGGAGAAAAGGGAAAUGAGUCUGUACCCAGUAGAAAAGCACUGGAGGGUCUAGUCAAGGAAUGCGAUGAAUGAGAGGGAGAAAGACUCCUCUGUCAGUUUAGGGUACUUACAGCAACAGAGAUAGUCAAAUGUAUAAAAUGAGUACAUAUGACAAAAAAUGAAUCAUAGAAAUUAUUUUAGUGCAAUAA
Zalophus californianus (California sea lion) is the source of this 1912-nucleotide long non-coding RNA. RefSeq lists it as uncharacterized. The transcript has 9 exons. The record is from RefSeq and is a predicted model, not a curated record. NCBI's taxonomy places the organism in Eukaryota, Metazoa, Chordata, Mammalia, Carnivora, Otariidae.